RNAcentral lists this transfer RNA (76 nucleotides) under Acidobacteriota bacterium. RNAcentral's name for it is "Acidobacteria bacterium tRNA-His". It matches the Rfam family "tRNA". Rfam says of the family: Transfer RNA (tRNA) molecules are approximately 80 nucleotides in length. Their secondary structure includes four short double-helical elements and three loops (D, anti-codon, and T loops). Lineage: Bacteria; Pseudomonadati; Acidobacteriota. The record is from RNAcentral. RNAcentral also lists the same sequence under 2 other names.
GUGGGAGUAGCUCAACCGGCAGAGCACCGGACUGUGGCUCCGGAUGUUGCGGGUUCGAUUCCCGUCUCCCACCCCA